CACCGUCUGAGGCCAAUUCGAGCCUACUGGAUCCCUGGUUCCAACCCAGUAGGAUCACAGAAGCAGGGCCAUCUGCAGCUAAAGGACAUACUUGUGGAAGAAGAAAAUUACAAAAUGAAAGAACUGGGAUGCAAGAAGUAAUGUUCCCAACAUGAUGUGAACAACAUCUGUGCUGGUUGAAUGAAUGAAUGGUGUUGAAAGCAUCUACAUCAGGGGUGUCCAAUCUUUCGGCUUCCCUGGGCUACACUGGAAGAAGAAUAAUUUUCUUGUGCCACAUAUAAAAUACACUAACACUAAUGAUAGCUGAUGAGCUAAAAAAAAAAAAAAUCGCAAAAAAAUCUCAUGUUCUAAGAAAGUUUAUGAAUUUGUGUUGGGCCACAUCCAAAGCCAUCCUGGGCUGCAUGCAGCCUGCAGGCCACGGGUUGGACAAGCUUGACUAUAGCUUUAAAGUGAUCUUAAUCUAAUCAAUUCUUCCCCACUCAGAAGAAACCUACUACAUCAGAGUCUAUUGAGAAUCUAUCUCCCUAAUCACCCUCAGGCACAGAGUUAUUAUAUAUUGAUAUCAUACACACUAAAAAAUUCCAUCAUACAGGUCUAGAAAUACUUCCAUAAUACAGUAAUAUUUUAAUAGGGUCAUAACACACAGCCACCCAUUCUGCCUGUAGCCAGUCAUGGAGCAAUACAUUUUGUACAUAACCUGUAAUUUCUUCUGGAGAGUGUAAUUACAAUGCCAAUAUGACAUCUUAUUUUUAUUAUUAUUAUUUGUUUAGUUAGUUAGUUAGUUAUUUUUUGAGACAGAGUCUCACUCUGUUGCCAGGCUGGAGUGCAGUGGUGCAAUCUUGGCUCACUGCAACCUCUGCCUCCCGGGUUCAAGCGAUUCUUCUGCCUCAGCCUCCCGAGUAGCUGGGACUACAGGUGCCCACCACCACACCUGGCUAAUUUUUGUAUUUUUAGUAGAGAUGGGGUUUCACCACGUUAGCCAGGAUGGUCUAGGGGUUGAUAAACUACAGUGCACAGGCCAAAUCUGGUUUACUGCCUGAUUUUGUAAAUAAAGUUUUAUUGGAACACA
This 1069-nucleotide non-coding RNA is filed under the name Pongo abelii (Sumatran orangutan). The record is from RNAcentral. Lineage: Eukaryota; Metazoa; Chordata; Mammalia; Primates; Hominidae.